This is a long non-coding RNA of Gorilla gorilla gorilla (western lowland gorilla), 432 nucleotides long. RefSeq lists it as uncharacterized. Lineage: Eukaryota; Metazoa; Chordata; Mammalia; Primates; Hominidae. The record is from RefSeq and is a predicted model, not a curated record. The transcript has 3 exons.
GUCAUCUGGAGUCACUGGUUUCUUGGAAAGAAAUAAUCCAAAGUCUUAAGAUAAUAUGAAAAUGCAAGAACUUUGAAAGAAAAGGUACAAUUGUCCUGUGCUAACUAUUGUCCAGUGUUUAAAAACUGGUCCAGUUUUCUCAAGACAGAAAGGAGAAGUAAGUAGAAGCAGCAAGAUUCUUCUUCUGUGAAGAUCCUGCUAUGAAGACCUCACAGGAUGGCCAUGUGGCAUAAACCAGAUGAAGCAUAUCGCUGAAGCACUGUCCAAUAUUUCCAAGCAAGAGGAGCCACUGAGUCAGGGAUGGUGUCAAUACAUGCAAUAUUUGAGGAGCACCCUUAGGGUGAGAUGUGGAAAAGGGAAAGAUUAACCGAAGCCUCUCAAUUUGUAUUUGGCAUUUCUAUAUAAAGAAAUGAAGUGUUUCUUCCAAAUAAA